This 1512-nucleotide ribosomal RNA is filed under the name Durio zibethinus. RNAcentral describes it as "SSU rRNA". The stretch from base 1 to 1109 matches the Rfam family "Eukaryotic small subunit ribosomal RNA". Lineage: Eukaryota; Viridiplantae; Streptophyta; Magnoliopsida; Malvales; Malvaceae. The record is from RNAcentral.
CCUGUUUGAUCCUGCCUAUAGUUAUAUUCUUGUCUUAAAGAUUAACUAGUGCAUGUGUAAGUAUGAACUAAUUCAGACUAUGAAAUUGUGAAAGGCCCAUUAAAUGAGUUAUAAUUUGUUUAAUGGUACCUACUACUCAAAUAACUACAGUAAUUCUAGAGCUAAUAUGUGCAACAAACCCCUACUUCUAGAAGGGAUGCAUUUAUUAGAUAAAAGGUCAAUGUGGGCUUUGCUCGUUGAUUUGAUGAUUCAUGAUAACUUAACAGAUUGCAUAGCCUUCUAUCAAUGAUGCAUCAUUCAAAUUUUUACCCUAUCAACUUUUGAUGGUAAGAUAGGGGCCUACUAUAGUGGUGUCGGGUGCAAAGAAUUAUGGUUUGAUUCUAGAAUAAAAGCCUAAGAAAUGGCUACCACAUCCAAGGAAGGUAGCAAGAGUGCAAAUUACCCAAUCCUGACAUGGGGAAGUAGUGGCAAUAAAUAAUAAUACCAAGCUCUAUGAGUCUAGUAAUUACAAUGAGUACAAUCUAAAUCCCUUAAUGAGGAUCCAUUAGAGGGCAAGUUUGGUGGUGGCAACAGUCAUGGUAGUUCCAACUCCAAUAACGUAUAUUUAAGUUGUUGUAAUUAAAAAAUUAAUAGAUGAACGAGGUUUGCAUCAUCUAGUUUGCCUCAUGGUGAGCAUCGGUUUACUUGUCCCUAUUGCUAGUGAUGCGCUCUUAGCCUUAACUAACUGUGUUGUUCCUCUGGCACUAUUACUUAGAAAAAAUUCGAGUGCUCAAAGUAAUCCUACGCUUGUAUACAUCAACAUGGGAUAACAUCAUAGGAUUUUGAUCCUAUUAUGUUGGCCUUCAGGAUUGGAAUAAUGAUUAAUAGGGACAGUUUCAUAUUUCAUAGUCAAAGGUGAAGUUCUUGGAUUUAUGAAAGAUGAACAAUUGCAAAAGUAUUUGCUAAGCAUGUUUUCAUUAGUUAAGAAUGCAAGUUAAGGGCUUAAAGAUGAUCAGAUACUGUCCUAAUCUUGACCACCAUUGGGACAUGUUGGCCCAUGGUCUCGACACAUGCUUUAACCUCCAUUAGCACAUGAUGGCCCAUUGUACAGGCAGUUUCCUUGAACACCAUUGGCACAUGCUGGGCCAAACACCACCUAUAGGUAUCCUAGGCUCGAACCGUGCACCAUGCACACCAAGAGUAGUUAGGUUCAGGCAUAGUUUCAUAUUUCUGCCAUGCCAAUGCCAUUUUUAUGGCUUGUAAGUUCAUAUAAGCGCUUUUUAGUGCCUAUACUUAGGCCUGGCUCAAUUUUACCAAACCUAAAUGUAGUGCCUAAGCCUCUGGAGUCUUAAUAACUACCUAUACCACUGUUAUAGGCUAGUUUCCCAUGACUUGGUCCUUCAGUAGGCCUUAAGGCUUGGUCUUCUAACAGUCGAACCCGGUCCAACUAGAAUUGAAACUACUUUUUAACUUAGAGAGAACCCAUGGGCCUAGACUAGCUUGCAGACUAUGACACAUACACAUGCCUUAAUU